RNAcentral lists this non-coding RNA (46 nucleotides) under Schistosoma mattheei. The record is from RNAcentral. Lineage: Eukaryota; Metazoa; Platyhelminthes; Trematoda; Strigeidida; Schistosomatidae.
GCACUGCUGAGGAGUGUCACACUAGGACGAAACAGCCGUCCAGUAC